RNAcentral lists this ribosomal RNA (253 nucleotides) under uncultured bacterium. Its description in RNAcentral is "partial 16S ribosomal RNA". It matches the Rfam family "Bacterial small subunit ribosomal RNA", at positions 524 to 776 of the family's 1533-position model. The record is from RNAcentral.
UACGAAGGGGGCUAGCGUUGCUCGGAAUUACUGGGCGUAAAGCGCGUGUAGGCGGUCGUGCAAGUCGGGUGUGAAAGCCCAGGGCUCAACCCUGGAAGUGCAUUCGAUACUGCAUGGCUAGAGUCCCGGAGAGGAUGGUGGAACUCUCGGUGUAGAGGUGAAAUUCGUAGAUAUCGAGAAGAACACCGGUGGCGAAGGCGGCCAUCUGGACGGUGACUGACGCUGAGACGCGAAAGCGUGGGGAGCAAACAGG